Molecule: ribosomal RNA, 109 nt
Filed under: Castor canadensis (American beaver)
Lineage: Eukaryota; Metazoa; Chordata; Mammalia; Rodentia; Castoridae
Source: RNAcentral
GUCUAAGGCCAUACCACCCUGAAUGCACCAUAUCUCAUCUGGUCUCGAAAUCUAAGCAGGGUCAAGCUUGGUUAGUACUUGGUUGGAAGACAGAUGUUCAGAAGAGACU